UCUGCAGUCACAUAACAAGAGCAUUCACCGUGAGUACUAAAGGAAGCCGAGUCGGCCGAGCAGAAGACGCGCUGGCCCACAUGGGUAGUUCUGUGUUCAGUGGAAUCACACUUACAAAAUUUGGAGGGAUUGCGGUGUUGGCCUUUGCCAAAUCUCAAAUCUUUGAGAUAUUUUACUUUAGGAUGUACUUAGCCAUCGCCUUACUUGGAGCCACUCAUGGGCUGCUAUUUCUUCCCGCCUUACUCAGCUACAUAGGACCAUCGGUAAAUAAAGCUAAAAGACACACCACUCAAGAGCGAUACAAAGGGACCGAGAGAGAACGGCUCCUCAACUUUUAGCCUUGUAGCAGGCUUUGGUGACUUUGUCUAUGUAGAGGUCAAGUUUCUGCAGAACAGCUGUGCUGGAUGCCGCUUGCUCCUAGGCAUUAGGCUGGGUCACAGCUGUGGCAAAUGCAGCUCCACGCACACUUUUAAACUCAGGAAUGCACCUAUGACUGUGAAGCAGUAUUAUGGAAGCUGAAGAUGACAGUUCCUGGCCCCUACAGCAUUAAAAAAAAAAAACAAAACCUUAUCUUGGGCAAGAGGAAGGAUACUUGGAUGGCUGCAAACGUGACCCAGUUACCAUCUGAGAAGCCACUCAGUCCACGUGCUAUCUCCUUUUUCAGGAAAUAGCCACCACACACAUUCUAUAGCUUAUUUUUUAGCAACAUUUGAGGAUAUUGUAGGUACUUUAUUACAACAUUCUGUAGUUUAAAGAGCUUUAUUAAUGCAAUAAAUUAACUUUGUACAUUUUUAUAUUUAAAAAAAAAAAAAAAACUAUCAAGGGACUUCAGAAUGUCGUAGGCCUCAUCAGAGCUUGUUCUCCAAAAACCUGCUUGAAAAAGGCAACGUGUUCUUCACAGUGUUCUCCUGUGGGGAAAUGUAGCCUCAGUCACCAACAGUUAUGGCAUGGGAAGAAGGGAAUGCAGACAGAACUCAUGGGUUUUAACUUAUUUUUCUUUAAUAAAAUACCUCAUCCUCCUAAA
Molecule: long non-coding RNA, 1024 nt
Organism: Phodopus roborovskii (desert hamster)
Lineage: Eukaryota; Metazoa; Chordata; Mammalia; Rodentia; Cricetidae
Exons: 3
Source: RefSeq, a predicted model, not a curated record